CCUCUUACAAACUCUACACGUCCAUUGCAACAGAGUCACCAGUGCCACAGCGGAAUUCCUUUGCCUGGUCACAACAGCCCGAAAGUGAACUCGCCCGGGAGUGGAGCUGUCGGAUGCUCAAGACUUUCUAAUCCCUAGUUCCAGAAGAAGAAGUGGAGUGGAGUGGAGUGUAAAAAAGCGAUGGAGAAAGAUGUGUUUUGACAGAAUUGUAUCUCUGAUGACAUCAUCCAUUCCUUCGUUGAAAGGACAGCAAAGCGUGGUGCUUGGUUGAUUUCAAAGAUGACAUUCAAUGGAUUGCUGAUUUCUAGGCACCCGUUUGAGGUGGAGGUCCAAGAAGUUCCUAGUGAGUAUGCAAACGGUCAGCGAAGGAGUGCAGUGAUGGUCCUCUUCGCAGAGAACCAAGUGGAUUAAAAAGGAUUAUAUAAUGGGAAACUGCAAUUGCAGGAUAUGAGACCGAUGCAACUGUAUUCCUGAUCAGUGGCCAGUUUGGUGGAGGAAAAGAUCCAGGGAGUGUUUACUUCACCAUGUAUUGGAUUUCCACCAGGCCUGGAGGCCAAAAUGUGAAAUGAAUGGCUCUGUCCAGAAUCUGAGGGUCCAAGGAGGAAGGUGAUGACCUUUUGGAGAUGCCAAAUUCAGCACAGGCCCUUCCCAGCACCAUUUCUGAAGCAAGGGAGAGAAUGGGGGGGACCUGACCCAGCUGACCUUGUGCCCUGUAUUAUAUUCUCUGGCCUUAUGAUGACAUAUACCUUAUGAUGACAGUGAC
Molecule: long non-coding RNA, 763 nt
Organism: Ornithorhynchus anatinus (platypus)
Lineage: Eukaryota; Metazoa; Chordata; Mammalia; Monotremata; Ornithorhynchidae
Exons: 5
Source: RefSeq, a predicted model, not a curated record